UUUCCGUAGGUGAACCUGCGGAAGGAUCAUUAUUACGUAUCCACGUAUCAACCCAUUCGUGAACUGUUCCCCGUCUGAUGAGGAUUUCUGCGACCACAAAAAUGCAUGAUGGAGAGGGUCGAAAGGCUCUCUAAUGCUGGUCGGUCCUGCUCUGUUCGGAGUGCUAGCUCAUUAGAUGUUGUUUUUUCAUCAUGCUACUCAUAUUAACCCCUUGUAACAAAACUUGAACUAAAAGACUUGCUACCAGAUAAAAAGGGUGGUGAAAAGACCGAAAUUAAGAAACAACUUUUAACAACGGAUAUCUUGGUUCUC
RNAcentral lists this unclassified non-coding RNA (312 nucleotides) under plant metagenome. RNAcentral describes it as "partial contains small subunit ribosomal RNA, internal transcribed spacer 1, and 5.8S ribosomal RNA". The record is from RNAcentral.